Thunnus maccoyii (southern bluefin tuna) is the source of this 1780-nucleotide long non-coding RNA. RefSeq lists it as uncharacterized. The transcript is spliced from 4 exons. The record is from RefSeq and is a predicted model, not a curated record. NCBI's taxonomy places the organism in Eukaryota, Metazoa, Chordata, Actinopteri, Scombriformes, Scombridae.
ACUCUUAUAAAAUUACAUUAAAACAGAAACAAUUCCAUAAAUAAAUAAGAGCAGUUGUGCAAUGCUCCAUUAAAAAGUAGUGACGAGUCUAUUUGGCCUUGUUUAAAAUGGAUAUUGCAGUGGGAAAUCAAACUAACAGUACAACCAGACUAAUUUCACAGCUGAAAAGCAAACAGUUGAUGUUGUGUAGAACCAUUAAUGUGUUGUUUUCGGAUAAUUAGGAGGAUGUGCACAGUUAAAAAAAGGCACCAACACAGAACAGCUGACAUCAUGCUAGCUUGUGGCAUGACAGAAGUUAGUGCUACCAGUUGACAGGCAAGCUAACCACUAAAUGGUGGUGUUUACCUGCAGCCCAGCAGUCAGUUUAACAUGAUGUGCAGCAGUUUGCUGUCCUCAUUCUGAGAAACACCUGAUUCAGCUGCACAUGAUGCAUGGAGAACCCCUUUUCACAUCAUUUCUUGUCCUGUGCCGAAUCAGCUUUACCUUGACUACGUCUGUCUGCAAGACACGUCUGAUGUAUGCUCGAGGCAUACAACGGUGUAUUUGUGGGAAUUGUGCAACAAAGCUUACAAAGUCUGAGAAUGUCUGCUGCAGGGAGAUACCACAGAUUUACUAGGUUACAAGAAGACUACAGCAGCCUCAGAACCAGCCAUCAUGCACGGUGGAUCAUCUCGGCCUAAAACCUGUGUGUUUGAAUGUGUUGUCGCUACAGAAUGCAUUCAAUAUUUAUAGAGCGGACUAUAGUCUGCAGGGGAAUAGAGCAGUAAGUAUCUUUUAUGAAUAUAAAUUGUCAAUUAUUAUUGUAAUCAGGUUGUAGCAGGUCUAGCAUUUGCAUGAAAAAUAUGGCGCACCUUUGCAAAGGUAGUUUUCUGAAGUAGGCAGCCCACAAAAAAAAACUGACUGGGUUGUUUCAGUUUGUGUGUUAGUAAACACAUCAGAGACCUAAAUGUAUGUGCACAAGCAUCAAAAAAGUGAGUUUUUCAUAAUACGUGACCUUUAAAGAUGCACUGUGUGAGUUUUUGAUCACUAGUAGUUCUAUGGAGCAAUGUUUUUAUGACUGAGUCCCUGUUUUGUUUGUAUGCAUGAGGACGCAUAUGCAGGCCCAAAGCAUGUGGGUGACAUCGUUCACUUUCCUGUCAAUGGUUUCACACUAUUCCAUUGAUCCACAGGUGGCAGUUAUGUGCCAAGAUACAAAGCAAUGUGUCGACAAAGGCAGAGACUGCUUGCAAGUUAACAUGAAUUGGAUUUAAAUAAUGACGGUUUCAAAAUUAUCAUUAAAAGUGUUUUAUGUGUUUUAUGAGGAAGGAAAUGCAUUCAACAUGAUACGUUUUGGUGAGAAACAGAAACUUUCUUUGAUUACAGUAAAACUCUGCAGUGCACCUUUAAGUCUAGAGUUGUUUUAUAUAUUUAUUAUUUUCAGCAAAUCUCAUGAAAGACCAAAACCAAAAAUAUGUUGGUCUGUCUCUCAAUACUUUAUGACUUCCCUACUCUGUCUGCGGCACACAGACCCAAGCCCACUGGUUCCCACCGAAGACUUAAAUCUUCAAAAACGGCUUUGGAUACAAACACAAUACUUAGUAGAUCAAUUAAUUGUUGGUUUUGGUCUCUUAAUCAGAUUUCUUGACGAUAAGAAAAAUAUAGAAUAUAACCAGACUUAUCCUUUACAGUUAGAAUUAUGUUAGAGUACAGAUUGAUGUUGUAGUUGUGAGCAGCUAUAAUGUCACAAGUUUAGUGCAAACAUGAAUGUGUGUGCAUGUGCAUAUAAACAUACAUACUGCAU